UGCGUAGGGUGCGAGCGUUAAUCGGAAUUACUGGGCGUAAAGCGUGCGCAGGCGGUGAUGUAAGACAGUUGUGAAAUCCCCGGGCUCAACCUGGGAACUGCAUCUGUGACUGCAUCGCUGGAGUGCGGCAGAGGGGGAUGGAAUUCCGCGUGUAGCAGUGAAAUGCGUAGAGAUGCGGAGGAACACCGAUGGCGAAGGCAGCCCCCUGGGCCAAUACUGACGCUCAGGCACGAAAGCGUGGGGAGCAAACAGG
RNAcentral lists this ribosomal RNA (253 nucleotides) under uncultured bacterium. Its description in RNAcentral is "partial 16S ribosomal RNA". It matches the Rfam family "Bacterial small subunit ribosomal RNA", at positions 524 to 776 of the family's 1533-position model. The record is from RNAcentral.